Molecule: transfer RNA, 98 nt
Filed under: Helicobacter pylori
Lineage: Bacteria; Pseudomonadati; Campylobacterota; Epsilonproteobacteria; Campylobacterales; Helicobacteraceae
Description: tRNA-Lys
Source: RNAcentral
AGCUUGUUGGAUGAUUUGAUAGGCUUCAUUGAGUUUCUUGAAUUCAUCAAUAGACAUGGAAUGACCAGGACCAGUCUGUUCGAAGCGGUUGCAAGUAA